CCAUUGCACUAUAUACGCUGUAUUUGAAUUCAGAGUGAAAAAGCCGUUGCAAGAAGUAUCGUCCUCCUGAAUACUCUCGUUUUCUCCUGCAAAUUUACAGUAUGGGCAUCUUUUUUUAACAUCUUUCGUCAAAGAAGUGGAUUCAAAGCACAUUGUGGCCUCAGUAUAUUGAUGUGAAACCAUGCAGAAAAUGCUACUUUCUCUCAACCUUGUGGAUGUUCCCUACUUCCCUAAGGAUCAGCAGCCUCUUGAAACAGAAUUCCUUGCGUCUAUGUUCCUUGGAUCUGAAAACAGUGCAUAAUGCAGGAGAUUCCACCCAAAAGCUAACCCACAAGUCCAAGCUGAAGUGGAAUAUUUCGCAAAAUUUGAUCUACACUCACCCGAUAGCUUUACUGCUAGAGAAAGGUGGUCAUAUAGAUGUCAUUUAGAGGACA
This 434-nucleotide long non-coding RNA is filed under the name Strongylocentrotus purpuratus (purple sea urchin). RNAcentral's name for it is "uncharacterized LOC115922656, transcript variant X1". Lineage: Eukaryota; Metazoa; Echinodermata; Echinoidea; Camarodonta; Strongylocentrotidae. The record is from RNAcentral.